UUGUUGCGCCUGCUGACCACUAGGGCGGCAGUAUAUAAGUGCGGCCUUCCUUCUCGCGCUCCCACUGCUGCAUCAUUUCCGGGUCAGGUGUCUGUCUGUGCAGAGCAGCGACCGAGUGCUCCGUGUGGCGUUCUCCAUUUUUAUUUCCUGGUUCCCUUGAGCGGUGGUAGAUGUCUGCUGUCGUGUGGGUCUUUCUCUCCCUCCCUCUCGCUGUGCAGGUUUGACUUUGAAAACAGGGAAUGCUCAUCAGCUGGCCGAAGUCUACCGGUGGUGAUUGAGGUGAUU
Long non-coding RNA from Perca fluviatilis (European perch), 285 nucleotides. RefSeq lists it as uncharacterized. NCBI's taxonomy places the organism in Eukaryota, Metazoa, Chordata, Actinopteri, Perciformes, Percidae. The record is from RefSeq and is a predicted model, not a curated record. The transcript is spliced from 4 exons.